CUUAAUGGUCUUAAAUAUCGAUUGCCUUAACACACAGCAGUCCCUUUCUCUUCCGACGUUUAAAUAAGCCUUCCCAAUUAUGGUUAAAAAAAUGGUAAUGUCAUUUAUUUCAUAAUUAGAAGUGUAAUAAUAAAGUAGAUCUACAAAUUUGUUCUUAAAAAUAUUUCAAAUAAUGAUCAAAGGCAGGGAAAUUAAUUUUGAUCAUUUAUUAUUUUAAUAAUUUUAAGUCCCUAAAUGAUUACAAUCAAUUGAAGGCCCCCAGAGGUAGUAACCAUGGGCAAAGUCUGACACAGGAAAUAGAACUCUUUGCUUCUGACAUCAUACAUGACACCUUUAGCUACUUGUGAACACUGCCACAAGAGAGACCUCAGGGACACAACCUUCAAAGCUGAGAAGUGUAAGGGGGAGAAUUAGAGAGCAGCUGGAGUGCAAAGUAUAUCAGCAAAUACUACAGGAGGAGGAGUGCAUGUGUCCUGAAUACAAAAUGAGGAAGCAGGGGCAAAGAGGGAAUGAGUACAUGAAUCAGUCUCAUACAGCUUGUAAAUGGUGGGACCAAGAUUGAGACAGCCUGAUUCCAGUGUCCAUGCACUUAACUACUAUGCGUGAUUAAACAUUAAUUUAAGUAUUAAUUAAUUAUUAAACAAAAAAACAAAGCAAAACACCUGUCCUUUAAAAAUGAUUAAAUUAUUUUAUUAAAAAAAUUACUGUAUUAUGUAUGAUGGAUUAUUACGUAGGUAUGAUUGACAGACAAAAAGGUAUACAUACCUAACGUAUAAA
Molecule: long non-coding RNA, 777 nt
Filed under: Homo sapiens (human)
Lineage: Eukaryota; Metazoa; Chordata; Mammalia; Primates; Hominidae
Description: HSALNT0377626
Source: RNAcentral